GUUUUUUUGCUUUUUUAUAAUAAAAAUCUACCCAUCAAAUAUUGCUUAUACUUCUCCCUCUCUAUAAAACUUUUACCUUCACAGCUUCUCCCUGGCUUUUCCUCACCUUUGUGUUUCCUGUUUCUACAGCAGCUCUGGAAGAUGUUCCCCCUCCUUUCAGGAAGAGUCCUUCCCUGUUCCCUUCAAUGCCCUCAGGGUCACAGCACACACAGAGCUGGAGGGAAGCAAGGUCUUGCUGCUUGGAAGGUGCUUUUCACCAUGUCAGUGCUACCCUCUGCCACUGUCUCCGUCCUGCAGCUCAGAGGGUUUCUCCAGAAAAGGGCCCUGUGUCUAGGUCUCCCACCAGAGAGGUUAUAAGGUUACAAAAUCAGACUUUCUUGAUUUUUAGUGGUUUUGGUAGUUUGACUUUUUGUUUGUUUGGUUGAUUGGCUGGAUUUGGGUUUGAUUUGUUGGCUGGUUUUUGUUUGGUUAGGGUUUUUUCACAUCUUUGGUGUGGUUUUUGCUGGGAUUUUUUUUUGUUGGGUUGUUUUUUGUUUUUGUUGGAUUUUUUGUUUGGUUUGGUUUUUUGUUCGUUUUGUUAUUUUUUUUAUGUUAGCUCCCAGCUUCAGGAAACUCAUAAUUUUGACUCAGAAGAGGAAGGCUUUCAAAGUGUCAGGUAAAAGAUGUCCCUGCUUGGAAGACUCAUCUGGGGAGGAAUGGACCUGCAGGAGCUUUGACGAUGUGACUUCAUUGCCUUCAGGCUGAAAAGGAAGCUGAACACAGAUUUCCCAUUUCCUAGGUAAGCAUUCUGCCACUAGGCUAAGAGCUGACUUUAUUUAUUUACCUACAAUUGCAGUUUCACAUUUUAUUGAUGGCACAUGUAAACAUAUAAAAUUUAUUCUCUUAAGAAUGUGCAAAGGAAUUGGAAAUGGUAUAGGUACUGGUAAAAAGUGCAUGUGACUGAUUAUUCUCAUUUUUAAAACAUGCAACUUGAAAACACUUCUUGAUCUGGGGAUAAAAAAUUCUGUUUGACUUUGGUCACCAAUCACACAGUCCAACUAUUGAGCAAGCAGUAGUUGUGGCACAGCAUUCACAAGUAAGUACACAGUCUGCAAGAUGUUCCCAUGCAUUAUUCAGUGAAUAAUUCUAAAUAAUGAAAACACUGAAAUCUGUGUGCAGAUGUAGUAUGGGGGACCAAAUUAAAUGUGUUGUUUAAUAGAAGAAGCUGACCCAGCUCUAGUGGAAACCAGCACCAGCUGUUCAGAGACCUGUGGGUCUACGUAACAUGAAUUUAUCGUUUGAUAGAAACAGUAAUCCAAGUCCAGCAAUCACUAGUGUGUGGUAGGUAUCAUUCACAGUGAUGAAGCAGCUUCCAGAAUACACACCCACAGGCUACCUUCACUGUGGAGUCACCUUCUGAGUGAUUUCCAUCUUCCAGGUCAGCUC
This 1425-nucleotide long non-coding RNA is filed under the name Cyanistes caeruleus (blue tit). RNAcentral's name for it is "lncRNA (ENSCCEG00000016587.1)". Lineage: Eukaryota; Metazoa; Chordata; Aves; Passeriformes; Paridae. The record is from RNAcentral.